UUAACUCAAUUUUGGAAUUGGAACGUUUGCCUACGUUUGCCGCUAGGGGCGCUGUUCCAACUGCAUACAAAUUUGAGUUA
This 80-nucleotide microRNA precursor is filed under the name Bombyx mori (domestic silkworm). RNAcentral's name for it is "mir-2807 microRNA precursor family". It matches the Rfam family "mir-2807 microRNA precursor family". Lineage: Eukaryota; Metazoa; Arthropoda; Insecta; Lepidoptera; Bombycidae. The record is from Rfam by way of RNAcentral.